AUGUCACACGUUCCCAUGGUGAUGAGAAAUAUACCUCUGCCUUUCUUCCCAACUCUACUCUUUGAGCUGAGCAGUUCAAAGUUGAUAUUGAGUGAGUUCUCAGCUCUCUAUCUAGCAUCUUUGAUGAUGGGCAAUCUCAAUUGUUGCUCCUGCGAAGGAUCUACAGUCAGAAACCCAAAACAAAAACUAUUUUGAAACCAAUUGUGUACACCUGGACUGAAAAGUGGGCGAAAAUAUUUCAAGUUUGCAGAAAAGAAUAAUUCAUCCAUCAAAGGAGUCAAUGGAAGAUGCAUCCUAUGAUUCUUUGGUCAUUACACUCUUCCAGAAGAUCAGAGUGGAAGUGAAAUUAAUUUUGUCAAGGCGAGCUUGAGGAUCUUUAACCGAGGAACGAAUGUCACUUUCUUGGUUUCUUUCCACACAAAUUCCAAUGAAAAUCAGACAGUGUCCAUUUGGGAUGAUAUACAUAAUCUUCCAGCUUGGAAGAGUGUGGAGUGGUUGCCUCUUGUCAAGCAUUACCUUAUUUGAGAAGAUGUUUAUGUUGGCGACACCAAAGCUGGAAAUAAACAGCAUGAUGGGGUAAAUUACCUCAGCAACAGUU
Molecule: long non-coding RNA, 598 nt
Organism: Canis lupus familiaris (dog)
Lineage: Eukaryota; Metazoa; Chordata; Mammalia; Carnivora; Canidae
Exons: 3
Source: RefSeq, a predicted model, not a curated record